GAACUUUCCAGAGAUGGAUUGGUGCCUUCGGGAACUGUGAGACAGGUGCUGCAUGGCUGUCGUCAGCUCGUGUUGUGAAAUGUUGGGUUAAGUCCCGCAACGAGCGCAACCCUUAUCCUUUGUUGCCAGCGAUUAGGUCGGGAACUCAAAGGAGACUGCCAGUGAUAAACUGGAGGAAGGUGGGGAUGACGUCAAGUCAUCAUGGCCCUUACGACCAGGGCUACACACGUGCUACAAUGGCGCAUACAAAGAGAAGCGACCUCGCGAGAGCAAGCGGACCUCAUAAAGUGCGUCGUAGUCCGGAUUGGAGUCUGCAACUCGACUCCAUGAAGUCGGAAUCGCUAGUAAUCGUGGAUCAGAAUGCCACGGUGAAUACGUUCCCGGGCCUUGUACACACCGCCCGUCACACCAUGGG
This 415-nucleotide ribosomal RNA is filed under the name Salmonella enterica. RNAcentral's name for it is "bacterial SSU rRNA". It matches the Rfam family "Bacterial small subunit ribosomal RNA", at positions 993 to 1408 of the family's 1533-position model. The record is from RNAcentral. RNAcentral also lists the same sequence under 1 other name. Lineage: Bacteria; Pseudomonadati; Pseudomonadota; Gammaproteobacteria; Enterobacterales; Enterobacteriaceae.